Molecule: small nuclear RNA, 188 nt
Organism: Echinops telfairi (small Madagascar hedgehog)
Lineage: Eukaryota; Metazoa; Chordata; Mammalia; Afrosoricida; Tenrecidae
Gene: U2
Rfam family: U2 spliceosomal RNA
About the family: U2 is a small nuclear RNA (snRNA) component of the spliceosome (involved in pre-mRNA splicing). Complementary binding between U2 snRNA (in an area lying towards the 5' end but 3' to hairpin I) and the branchpoint sequence (BPS) of the intron results the bulging out of an unpaired adenosine, on the BPS, which initiates a nucleophilic attack at the intronic 5' splice site, thus starting the first of two transesterification reactions that mediate splicing.
Source: Ensembl
UUCACAAAUCUUUUAAAAAUUACAAAGUUCUAGUAUCUGUUCUUAUCAGUUUAAUAUCUGAUACAUCCUAUAUCCUAGGACAAUAUAGUAAAUGGAUUUUGGGGAUUAGGAGAUGGAAUAAGACAUUGCUCCGUCCACUCCACAUAUCGACCUGGCAUUGCAGUACUUCCAGGAACGGUGCACUCCUU